This 160-nucleotide ribosomal RNA is filed under the name uncultured bacterium. RNAcentral's name for it is "partial 16S rRNA". It matches the Rfam family "Bacterial small subunit ribosomal RNA", at positions 354 to 509 of the family's 1533-position model. The record is from RNAcentral.
AUGAGGAAUAUUGGUCAAUGGCCGAGAGGCUGAACCAGCCAAGUCGCGUGAGGGAAGACGGCCCUACGGGUUGUAAACCUCUUUUGUCGGGGAGCAAAGGGGAGCACGUGUGCUCCUAAAUGAGCGUACCCGAAGAAAAAGCAUCGGCUAACUCCGUGCC